This 1259-nucleotide long non-coding RNA is filed under the name Geospiza fortis (medium ground-finch). RNAcentral's name for it is "lncRNA (ENSGFOG00000004074.1)". The record is from RNAcentral. Lineage: Eukaryota; Metazoa; Chordata; Aves; Passeriformes; Thraupidae.
GUUUAUUUAGUAGUGUGGUGAUGAUUGCUCUGCCUUUUCUUGUGGAUUUGACCUCCAAACAAAAGGCUAUAAAGAUAUUAUUUGUCUGCUGAGAAUAAAUCCCUCUCUGUACCAAGAUGUAAAAGUAUAGUGAUGGUGAUGUAAAUAUGUAUUAUUUGAUUGUUUUUAUAUGUGAUAACUCCCAAAGUUUGUAACUGGGUAACAGGAUUUGUAAAUUUUCCAUGAGAAUACUGGUGGACCUCUAAAUUUUUUUUUUUUCCCUNNNNNNNNNNNNNNNNNNNNNNNNNNNNNNNNNNNNNNNNNNNNNUCUCCUGUGUGGAUUUUCUAUGAUAUUUAGUUCAGCACUAUUGUGCUUUGCAAGACUAGCAAAGAAAGUCAAAAGGACACAUUUGCCAUCCCUCACUGGUAACACAGCCUUGAAACAGCACAUCUGGACAAAUGGAGCAAUAGCUUAUUCUGUCACAGCAGAAUUAGACCAAAGGGAUGUUGAAUUUUUGGCUGUGGAUACAAACAGCUUCAGCAACAGCCCUGAUGGACACAAGCGUUGAUGGGUAUGAGCUCAGCUGGAGCACUGCACUGCUGAGACUGUCUGGCUCCCCAGGACAGCGUGGUGGGACUUGGCUUGAGGUAACAUCUGUCCAACAGAUCCUACCUCACAUGGAUCCUACCUGGGAUUAUGCUCUGUUCUGUGCAGUGGAUGGAAGUUCAGUGUAAGUAGGUGAAACUGCUCACAGCUGCUGAAGUUAUCCCAUGUAUCUCCAUUCCACGGGAUUUGAAAUGGGGAAAUAAUAAUUAUUUUGAAAUUCUUUAUAUUGUAGUGAUAAUCUGGAACAUUUAACAAAUUGUACCUUGGAAAGUUGUAUGAAAACAACAUUGGAAAAGUCAAGUACCUUCUGUUGAAAAAUUACUCUUUUUUCAGAAAAAAUAUUCUUGAAACAUUCCUAUCAGCUUGGAUAAUAAUUUAUCUCUGGAAAGACAAAGGCUGUGUUACUAUAUGGUGAAUGUAUUUUAUACUGCCAAACAUUAUUGCUUUGUAAAGUGUUACAAAUUUAUGUGAGAAGGAAGAGCUUGUUUAUCUUAAACUGUAACACUACUUCUUGGUCAGCAUGGCAAAGUCCUUAGUGGGGUUUGCCUCAAUAAAUAAUACCUUCUUCUUAGUGAUUAUUCUGGUGUAUUUCAGUAAAAUUUUCUAUAUACUUUAGAAGGUACUUUUGAGUCAUAAAUUGAUACUUCCUGAAGUGUAAUUUUCAGUCAUUUGU